UAGCGGCGGACGGGUGAGUAAUGCUUAGGAAUCUGCCUAUUAGUGGGGGACAACAUUCCGAAAGGAAUGCUAAUACCGCAUACGCCCUACGGGAGAAAGCAGGGGAUCUUCGGACCUUGCGCUAUUAGAUGAGCCUAAGUCAGAUUAGCUAGUUGGUGGGGUAAAGGCCUACCAAGGCGACGAUCUGUAACUGGUCUGAGAGGAUGAUCCGUCACACUGGAACUGAGACACGGUCCAGACUCCUACGGGAGGCAGCAGUGGGGAAUAUUGGACAAUGGGCGAAAGCCUGAUCCAGCCAUGCCGCGUGUGUGAAGAAGGCCUUUUGGUUGUAAAGCACUUUAAGCGAGGAGGAGGCUACCGAGAUUAAUACUCUUGGAUAGUGGACGUUACUCGCAGAAUAAGCACCGGCUAACUCUGUGCCAGCAGCCGCGGUAAUACAGAGGGUGCAAGCGUUAAUCGGAUUUACUGGGCGUAAAGCGCGCGUAGGUGGCCAAUUAAGUCAAAUGUGAAAUCCCCGAGCUUAACUUGGGAAUUGCAUUCGAUACUGGUUGGCU
Molecule: ribosomal RNA, 554 nt
Filed under: Acinetobacter sp. 8AGIII
Lineage: Bacteria; Pseudomonadati; Pseudomonadota; Gammaproteobacteria; Moraxellales; Moraxellaceae
Description: bacterial SSU rRNA
Rfam family: Bacterial small subunit ribosomal RNA
Source: RNAcentral